CGGUAUCAACUUGCUGUGGGGUUAUAAAAUGUAUAUGAGUAUCAAUGGCUCCAGCCGUUAUUAUCUUGCCUUCUCCGGCAAUUAUCUCUGUUCCAGCACCUAUAACUAUAUCAACUUUAUCAUUUAUAUCAGGAUUUCCACUUUUGCCUAUACCUGAAAUUUUGCCAUUAGUUAUACCUAUGUCAGCUUUGUAAAUUCCCGUAUAAUCAAGUAUAAUUGCAUUUGUUAUAACAAGGUCAGCAGCUCCUGUUAACUGUGUCGCUGUGGCUGAUUGAUUCAUUCCAUCUCUUACAG
RNAcentral lists this small RNA (294 nucleotides) under Campylobacter pinnipediorum subsp. caledonicus. Its description in RNAcentral is "5' ureB small RNA". It matches the Rfam family "5' ureB small RNA". Lineage: Bacteria; Pseudomonadati; Campylobacterota; Epsilonproteobacteria; Campylobacterales; Campylobacteraceae. The record is from Rfam by way of RNAcentral.